UACUGCGAGAUCCUACAUGGCUAAACCUCGAAAGCCAAGGCAAUGCCAAUGUUGCAGGGUCGUCGGCCACACGAGGAGAACUUGCCCCCAAAACAAUCAUAAAACGGGACAAGUGGGUAGAAAUUUGUUUGAGGAAUACGAUGAUUAUGAUCCAAUUGGUACUCCCACCCCUUUUACACCGAAGCGUCCCAGGAAUAAUAUGAGGCCAUGUAAGAUUCACCCUGUGAAGAGAUGACUUUUUGUCACUAAUGUGGAUACGUCUCCAGUGCAGUUGAGCAAGGAUGUUAAUGACUUGCGUACUUGCGAUGCACAAGUUGUCCAAAAUUCAGCGUUCACUGAUGCGGAUACGUCUCUAGGUGUUGCUGUGGGUAAUAGUUGAUAUGAUCGAGCGGGUGAUAUUGGAAGCUAAACUAAGAUUUUUUUUAAAUUUUUUUUUGAGGACUUAAAUCUGUUAGUAUUUUGUAUAAAUACUCUUAAAUGAUGGUUGAUGGAUAUUUGUUUUGCUGUAUGGAAGUUCAUAUUUUGUAUGCACACUUCUUUUUUUCCUUGAAGAAAGAAUUUUGUAAGGAAUUAUCAUUCACCAAACGAGGUUGUAAGAAAUCCUACACUGCCUUGCAAUAGUAACUUGCUUUUCAAUAUUGUUGAUCUUC
Non-coding RNA from Camellia sinensis, 650 nucleotides. NCBI's taxonomy places the organism in Eukaryota, Viridiplantae, Streptophyta, Magnoliopsida, Ericales, Theaceae. The record is from RefSeq and is a predicted model, not a curated record.